This 429-nucleotide ribosomal RNA is filed under the name Chloroflexota bacterium. Its description in RNAcentral is "Chloroflexi bacterium partial 16S ribosomal RNA". It matches the Rfam family "Bacterial small subunit ribosomal RNA", at positions 355 to 776 of the family's 1533-position model. Lineage: Bacteria; Bacillati; Chloroflexota. The record is from RNAcentral.
UGGGGAAUAUUGCACAAUGGGCGCAAGCCUGAUGCAGCCAUGCCGCGUGUGUGAAGAAGGCCUUCGGGUUGUAAAGCACUUUCAGCGGGGAGGAAGGCGUUAAGGUUAAUAACCUUGGCGAUUGACGUUACCCGCAGAAGAAGCACCGGCUAACUCCGUGCCAGCAGCCGCGGUAAUACGGAGGGUGCAAGCGUUAAUCGGAAUUACUGGGCGUAAAGCGCACGCAGGCGGUCUGUCAAGUCGGAUGUGAAAUCCCCGGGCUCAACCUGGGAACUGCAUUCGAAACUGGCAGGCUAGAGUCUUGUAGAGGGGGGUAGAAUUCCAGGUGUAGCGGUGAAAUGCGUAGAGAUCUGGAGGAAUACCGGUGGCGAAGGCGGCCCCCUGGACAAAGACUGACGUUCAGGUGCGAAAGCGUGGGGAGCAAACAGG